Molecule: ribosomal RNA, 505 nt
Filed under: uncultured bacterium
Lineage: Bacteria
Description: partial 16S ribosomal RNA
Rfam family: Bacterial small subunit ribosomal RNA
Source: RNAcentral
GACGAACGCUGGCGGCGUGCCUAAUACAUGCAAGUAGAACGCACAGUUUAUACCGUAGCUUGCUACACCAUAGACUGUGAGUUGCGAACGGGUGAGUAACGCGUAGGUAACCUGCCUGGUAGCGGGGGAUAACUAUUGGAAACGAUAGCUAAUACCGCAUAAUAUUAAUUAUUGCAUGAUAAUUAAUUGAAAGGUGCAAUUGCACCACUACCAGAUGGACCUGCGUUGUAUUAGCUAGUAGGUGAGGUAACGGCUCACCUAGGCGACGAUACAUAGCCGACCUGAGAGGGUGAUCGGCCACACUGGGACUGAGACACGGCCCAGACUCCUACGGGAGGCAGCAGUAGGGAAUCUUCGGCAAUGGACGAAAGGCUGACCGAGCAACGCCGCGUGAGUGAAGAAGGGUUUCGGAUCGUAAAGCUCUGUUGUAAGAGAAGAACGGGUGUGAGAGUGGAAAGUUCACACUGUGACGGUAUCUUACCAGAAAGGGACGGCUAACUACGUG